UACGAAGGGGGCUAGCGUUGCUCGGAAUCACUGGGCGUAAAGCGCACGUAGGCGGAUCGCUAAGUCAGGGGUGAAAUCCUGGAGCUCAACUCCAGAACUGCCUUUGAUACUGGCGAUCUUGAGUCCGGGAGAGGUGAGUGGAACUGCGAGUGUAGAGGUGAAAUUCGUAGAUAUUCGCAAGAACACCAGUGGCGAAGGCGGCUCACUGGCCCGAUACUGACGCUGAGGCACGAAAGCGUGGGGAGCAAACAGG
RNAcentral lists this ribosomal RNA (253 nucleotides) under uncultured bacterium. RNAcentral's name for it is "partial 16S ribosomal RNA". It matches the Rfam family "Bacterial small subunit ribosomal RNA", at positions 524 to 776 of the family's 1533-position model. The record is from RNAcentral.